This 65-nucleotide transfer RNA is filed under the name Apis koschevnikovi. Its description in RNAcentral is "tRNA-Gly". The record is from RNAcentral. Lineage: Eukaryota; Metazoa; Arthropoda; Insecta; Hymenoptera; Apidae.
AUAUAUAUAGUAUAAUAAUUACAUUUAAUUUCCAAUUAAAAAAUUUAAUAAUUUUAAUAUAUAUA